ACGGAAGGCAGCAGUGGGGAAUAUUGCACAAUGGGCGAAAGCCUGAUGCAGCGACGCCGCGUGAGCGAUGAAGUAUUUCGGUAUGUAAAGCUCUAUCAGCAGGGAAGAUAAUGACGGUGCCUGACUAAGAAGCACCGGCUAAAUACGUGCCAGCAGCCGCGGUAGUACGUAUGGUGCAAGCGUUAUCCGGAUUUACUGGGUGUAAAGGGUGCGUAGGUGGUAUGGCAAGUCAGAAGUGAAAACUAUGGGCUCAACCCAUAGACUGCUUUUGAAACUGUCAAACUAGAGUGCAGGAGAGGAAAGAAGAAUUCCUAGUGUAGCGGUGAAAUGCGUAGAUAUUAGGAGGAAUACCAGUGGCGAAGGCGUCUUUCUGGACUGUUACUGACACUGAGGCACGAAAGCGUGGGGAGCAAACAGGAUUAGAUACCCUGGUA
RNAcentral lists this ribosomal RNA (434 nucleotides) under uncultured Lachnospiraceae bacterium. Its description in RNAcentral is "partial 16S ribosomal RNA". It matches the Rfam family "Bacterial small subunit ribosomal RNA", at positions 341 to 792 of the family's 1533-position model. The record is from RNAcentral. Lineage: Bacteria; Bacillati; Bacillota; Clostridia; Lachnospirales; Lachnospiraceae.